AUUGAACGCUGGCGGCAUGCCUUACACAUGCAAGUCGAACGGCAGCGGACCUUCGGGUGCCGGCGAGUGGCGAACGGGUGAGUAAUAUAUCGGAACGUACCUUUCAGUGGGGGAUAGCGUAGCGAAAGUUACGCUAAUACCGCAUAUUCUGUGAGCAGGAAAGCAGGGGAUCGCAAGACCUUGCGCUGAUUGAGCGGCCGAUAUCAGAUUAGCUAGUUGGUGAGGUAAAGGCUCACCAAGGCGACGAUCUGUAGCGGGUCUGAGAGGAUGAUCCGCCACACUGGAACUGAGACACGGUCCAGACUCCUACGGGAGGCAGCAGU
RNAcentral lists this ribosomal RNA (323 nucleotides) under uncultured bacterium. Its description in RNAcentral is "bacterial SSU rRNA". It matches the Rfam family "Bacterial small subunit ribosomal RNA", at positions 30 to 355 of the family's 1533-position model. The record is from RNAcentral.